AUUGAACGCUGGCGGCGUGCUUAACACAUGCAAGUCGAACGCGAAAGGGACUUCGGUCCUGAGUAAAGUGGCGCACGGGUGAGUAACGCGUGGAUAAUCUGCCCUUAUGAUUGGAAUAACAGUUGGAAACGGCUGCUAAUACCGGAUACGCUCAAAAUGAACUUUUUGAGGAAAAGAUGGCCUCUGCUUGCAUGCUAUCGCAUAAGGAUGAGUCCGCGUCCCAUUAGCUUGUUGGCGGGGUAACGGCCCACCAAGGCAACGAUGGGUAGCCGAUUUGAGAGGAUGAUCGGCCACACUGGAACUGAAACACGGUCCAGACUCCUACGGGAGGCAGCAGUGGGGAAUAUUGCGCAAUGGGCGAAAGCCUGACGCAGCGACGCCGCGUGAGGGAUGAAGGUUUUCGGAUCGUAAACCUCUGUCAGAAGGGAAGAAACUACGUUGUGCUAAUCAGCAGCGUACUGACGGUACCUUCAAAGGAAGCACCGGCUAACUCCGUG
This 497-nucleotide ribosomal RNA is filed under the name uncultured bacterium. Its description in RNAcentral is "bacterial SSU rRNA". It matches the Rfam family "Bacterial small subunit ribosomal RNA", at positions 30 to 507 of the family's 1533-position model. The record is from RNAcentral.